RNAcentral lists this small RNA (27 nucleotides) under Bombyx mori (domestic silkworm). Its description in RNAcentral is "ovarian small RNA-35947". The record is from RNAcentral. Lineage: Eukaryota; Metazoa; Arthropoda; Insecta; Lepidoptera; Bombycidae.
UGUGUCAAGGUUUACGUGCCAUCCAGA